This 483-nucleotide ribosomal RNA is filed under the name Bacillus sp. P4d. Its description in RNAcentral is "bacterial SSU rRNA". It matches the Rfam family "Bacterial small subunit ribosomal RNA", at positions 947 to 1429 of the family's 1533-position model. The record is from RNAcentral. Lineage: Bacteria; Bacillati; Bacillota; Bacilli; Caryophanales; Bacillaceae.
UAAUUCGAAGCAACGCGAAGAACCUUACCAGGUCUUGACAUCCUCUGACAACUCUAGAGAUAGAGCGUUCCCCUUCGGGGGACAGAGUGACAGGUGGUGCAUGGUUGUCGUCAGCUCGUGUCGUGAGAUGUUGGGUUAAGUCCCGCAACGAGCGCAACCCUUGAUCUUAGUUGCCAGCAUUUAGUUGGGCACUCUAAGGUGACUGCCGGUGACAAACCGGAGGAAGGUGGGGAUGACGUCAAAUCAUCAUGCCCCUUAUGACCUGGGCUACACACGUGCUACAAUGGAUGGUACAAAGGGCUGCAAGACCGCGAGGUCAAGCCAAUCCCAUAAAACCAUUCUCAGUUCGGAUUGUAGGCUGCAACUCGCCUACAUGAAGCUGGAAUCGCUAGUAAUCGCGGAUCAGCAUGCCGCGGUGAAUACGUUCCCGGGCCUUGUACACACCGCCCGUCACACCACGAGAGUUUGUAACACCCGAAGUCG